GCUGGGCAAGGUGGCACAUGCCUGUAGUCCCUGCUAUUCGAGAGGGUGAGGUGGGAGGAUCGCUUGAGCCUAGGAGUUCUGGGCUGUAUGUAGUGCACUAUGCUGAUUGGGUGUCUGCAAUGUUCAACAUCAAUAUGGUGACCUCCUGGGAGCGGGGGACCACCAGGUUGCCUAAGGAGGGGUGAACCAGUUGGAAACAGCAGGUCAAAACUCCCAUGCUGAUCAGUAGUGGGAUCACGCCUGUGAAUAGCCACUGCACUCCAGCCUGGGCAACAUAAUGAGACCCCAUCUCUU
Callithrix jacchus (white-tufted-ear marmoset) is the source of this 294-nucleotide unclassified non-coding RNA. It matches the Rfam family "Metazoan signal recognition particle RNA". Rfam says of the family: The signal recognition particle (SRP) is a universally conserved ribonucleoprotein. The record is from Ensembl. Lineage: Eukaryota; Metazoa; Chordata; Mammalia; Primates; Cebidae.